RNAcentral lists this ribosomal RNA (427 nucleotides) under uncultured bacterium. RNAcentral describes it as "partial 16S ribosomal RNA". It matches the Rfam family "Bacterial small subunit ribosomal RNA", at positions 355 to 774 of the family's 1533-position model. The record is from RNAcentral.
UGGGGAAUAUUGGACAAUGGGCGAAAGCCUGAUCCAGCCAUGCCGCGUGUGUGAAGAAGGUCUUCGGAUUGUAAAGCACAUUAAGUUGGGAGGAAGGGCAUUAACCUAAUACGUUAGUGUUUUGACGUUACCGACAGAAUAAGCACCGGCUAACUCUGUGCCAGCAGCCGCGGUAAUACAGAGGGUGCAAGCGUUAAUCGGAAUUACUGGGCGUAAAGCGCGCGUAGGUGGUUUGUUAAGUUGGAUGUGAAAUCCCCGGGCUCAACCUGGGAACUGCAUUCAAAACUGACUGACUAGAGUAUGGUAGAGGGUGGUGGAAUUUCCUGUGUAGCGGUGAAAUGCGUAGAUAUAGGAAGGAACACCAGUGGCGAAGGCGACCACCUGGACUAAUACUGACACUGAGGUGCGAAAGCGUGGGGAGCAAACA